Molecule: long non-coding RNA, 2617 nt
Filed under: Citrus sinensis (sweet orange)
Lineage: Eukaryota; Viridiplantae; Streptophyta; Magnoliopsida; Sapindales; Rutaceae
Description: long non-coding RNA (CSIN_LNC002837)
Source: RNAcentral
CAAUUCGAACCAGGUAAAAUUCGAACAGCAUAUGUAAUUCAAGUGGUUUUGGGUAUUGAAAUUCAAUAUCCAGACAUUUCUGGAUGGGUCCGAAUAUGGCACCAAAAACUUGAAACCCAGAUCCGUACCUGUAUAUAUAUCCUUAAACAAACACAAGGUCGCGCCUCCAACUCUCCAACACUCCAAGCCAACAGCCACCACCUACCGCUGCACCACUCCUCCAUGAACCUCCACGCCUAGGCAUCAUCCAUUUUCACUUCUCAGUUGUUAGCCCUUGGCGCGUGGCUUCUUUCCAUCUCCACUCUCCAGUGUCACUGUCACAACUCAUAAAGCACAACCUAUAGCCAUGUUCGCACAGCCACAGUCUCCAUCGUCGCCUUCUUAGCCAUCAUCGCUCCACCAUCACAGCCACGAGGUAUUGAUUUUUGACUUCUCAAUUUUCUCUUUUAAAAAAAAAUGAUGAAACUCUUAUUAUUAUUAUUAUUAUUAAUGUUGGAUGUAAUUUGGAGAUUAUUGUGUUGAUGAGUUGAACUUAUGUCGGAUAUUAUUUGCUAAUUACUGUGCUGCUGAAAUUAAAUAUUUGAUAAAUAAUUGAAUGAGUUUAUAUUGAAGAUUAAAUUAAUUAAGUAGGUUAGAAAUUUAAAUUUUGGCACUGUUACAUUUUUUUUUCAGUUCAUAUCUACGCAAGGGAAAUCCAAAUAAAAACCCAUGUUUGGGAGUUUUCGGGCUUGACCCGGCCAGGAUGUGAAAAAACUAGGCACGAAAUCGGGUCUAGAUAGCAAUUAUAUCGAUUCGGGGCCGAUGCCUGGUAAGUCUAAACUCCACCUGGACCCGAGGUUUUGCCAACCCUAAUAUUUGUAAUGAAACAUUCAAGUUAACCGGCGCCAAAAGCUUGAACUUGAAAAAUCCAUGGUGUGUGGUAGUGAAUCACAUAUCAAUGGAUUUCUUUUGUUCCUUUCUUUUGUUAUUUAUUAAUUGACGUGAGACGGUCCAGAAUAAUUGUAAGGUAGAUUUUUGAGUUACCACUUAAUUAGUAGAUUUUUAGGAUGCUUUACAAAUAUGUGUAUCUAGAAUUAUCCUAAAUUUCAUAUCCUAAUUUAUAUAUAGAAAUUUCAUAUCCUAAUUUUUAUGUAGACGUAACAAUUCAAAAUAAAAGUUAACAUGUAAAAAAAUUAAAUUAACAAUUCAAAAUAAAAGUUAACAUGUAAAAAAAAUUAAAUUUCUAAGAAAAUAUGAUUUUUUUUUCCAUUUUUAUUAUGGUUUGUUAGUAAUUGAUUAUGUCUCAAGAAAGGGUUGGGCAAAAUAUCCGAUUCAAUUUAACCCGACCGGAUUUGAUCUGAAAAAUAUCGGGUUUGGAUCGGAUCGGCUUCUUAACAAAAUUUGAUCGGAUGCAUUUUUGCCAACCUAAUCGGAUCACAAACCGAUCUGGUUGGCUUUAAAAUUUAAAAAAAAAUGAAUGAAAUUGAAAACUAAACCUAUAGACAUGCACAACCUCCCUCUCCCUCAAGCCUCAACUUAGAAUUAUAAAUACACGUGCAUCAUAAACAAUUAACACAAAACCAUAAAAAAAAAACAAACAAAUCUUGGUCCACACACAUCACAAACAAUUCACACAAAACACAAUCAUAAACAAUUCACACAAAACACAAUCAGGUCAACACAUCAUGAUCCACAAUCCACUCACCCUCUCUCACUCUCUUAUUCUCUACUCUUCACUCUUCACUCUUCACGCUUGUUGAUCGUUCGUUGUUGCUCACAGUUGGGUUUCUCAUACACAUCACAAAUCGACACACGGACGCAACAUGUCUAUCGAUUCGACACAACAUAGCCACCACUGACCAUCAUUUCCAAUCCGACAUGUAGAUCAUCAUUUGCAGAUGCAGACACCAGAUAUGCUGCUAUCAAAUCUACCGCUACAACACUCUCUACCAUCACCAAGUUCCUUCAAGCUCUACUCUAACUCGAAUUCUCCAACCCACCGAAUUUGUGUGUUUUGAAAUUUUGAUGUUGUAUAGUAAUUUUAAUGUAAAUUGCAAUUGCUGAAUGUUACGUUCAGAGUCCGCCUAAUCUUUUGCACGACCUAGAUGACCACAUAUUCCUAUUGGACGUUAUGCGGGACCACUCAUAGAAAGAUUUCCAAGGAAACGACGAAAGCCAUACAAGCGGAGGCUUGAUUAAGACGGGACUCGGGGGAGUUGUGUUCUUUAACACAGGACAACCAUGUUCAUAAAAUUAUCUGGCUUGUUGGGUGACCUUGGGUUUACAUUAUAGAUGACUGUUGAGGACAUUGGGAAUAAAUUUUUCACCGACUCGAAUUGACCCUAUUGACCCAAACUUAGGAAUAAGAUUCCUUAGGAAUAAAAUGUGUUGUGAAUAGUAAAAUAAGAUUUCUUAGGAAUAAGAUGUACUGAGUCAUGUAAUAUAAAGUAGUGGUGAGUCAUAAAGUAAUAUCCCUUAAAGAUAAGAUGUAAUAAUAAAAGAAAAUUCCCUUAGUGCCUAUAAAAGGGGACUCCCAAUAUGUGUAUGGAUCAUCGGGUCUUGUAAUCUACCUAGUCUUGUAUUCUCUUUUCUCUUGUAAGAAAAUCUUUCUUAAUAGUAUUUUCUAAUAAAAUUCGCG